This 986-nucleotide ribosomal RNA is filed under the name Epiclines gayi. RNAcentral describes it as "eukaryotic LSU rRNA". It matches the Rfam family "Eukaryotic large subunit ribosomal RNA", at positions 141 to 858 of the family's 3401-position model. The record is from RNAcentral. Lineage: Eukaryota; Metazoa; Arthropoda; Insecta; Coleoptera; Cleridae.
AAAUGUGGUGUUGGAGAGAGGCGUCUUGUCUCGCGGUCUUACAACGCGUCCAAUUCCUUCUUGAACGGGGCCACAAUCCAUAUAGGGUGCCAGGCCCGUAKUGACCGCUGCCGUCCGCGAGGCGACCUUUCUUCAGAGUCGGGUUGCUUGAGAGUGCAGCCCUAAGUGGGUGGUAAACUCCAUCUAAKGCUAAAUAUGACCACGAGACCGAUAGCGAACAAGUACCGUGAGGGAAAGUUGAAAAGAACUUUGAAGAGAGAGUUCAAUAGUACGUGAAACCGUUCAGGGGUAAACCUGAGAAACCCGAAAGGUCGAAAGGGGAGAUUCAUUCGCGAUUCGCACGAUCGGACCGGGUCGUCGGCGACAGAAGGCUUCGUGCCGGAAGCGCCUUCGAUCAGUGUCAGCGGUUGGCGAGCGCGUGCACUUCUCCCCAAGUAGGACGUCGCGAUCCGUUGGGUGCCGGUCUAAGGCCCGCGAGGGAGCCCGUCCGGUCGGCUUUGCCGUAUCGGACGGACCCGCGGUGUCCCGGCCGGCUCGCUCGACGGUAGACAUACGGUGUGGGGCCGCGAAUUCAGUUCGCGUUCGGCCCGCGGCAAGCGCUGCACGCGCGUCAGCUUUCGGACCUAGUGCCGAGGCCGGCCCGUGCCUGGUUGUUGGCUGCGGUGUUCUCGGACAGACCUCGUUGAAACACCUAUCAGCGACGCUAUAGCUUUGGGUACUUUCAGGACCCGUCUUGAAACACGGACCAAGGAGUCUAGCAUGUGCGCGAGUCAUUGGGAAUCACUAAACCUAAAGGCGCAAUGAAAGUGAAGGUCCGCCCUGCGCGGACCGAGGGAGGAUGAGUCGACCUGGCGUGUCACAGCGUCAGCAACCGGCUCCGCACUCCCGGGGCGUCUCGUUCUCACUGCGAGAAGAGGCGCACCAAGAGCGUACACGCUGGGACCCGAAAGAUGGUGAACUAUGCCUGGUCAGGACGAAGUCAGGGG